RNAcentral lists this ribosomal RNA (440 nucleotides) under uncultured bacterium. RNAcentral describes it as "bacterial SSU rRNA". It matches the Rfam family "Bacterial small subunit ribosomal RNA", at positions 339 to 794 of the family's 1533-position model. The record is from RNAcentral.
UUACGGGAGGCAGCAAUGGGGAAUUUUCCGCAAUGGGCGAAAGCCUGACGGAGCAACGCCGCGUGAGGGAUGAAGGCCUCUGGGCUGUAAACCUCUUUUCUCAAGGAAGAAGACUUGACGGUACUUGAGGAAUAAGCCACGGCUAAUUCCGUGCCAGCAGCCGCGGUAAUACGGGAGUGGCAAGCGUUAUCCGGAAUUAUUGGGCGUAAAGCGUCCGCAGGCGGCCUUGUAAGUCUGUCGUUAAAGCGUGGAGCUUAACUCCAUUUCAGCGAUGGAAACUACAAGGCUUGAGUGUGGUAGGGGCAGAGGGAAUUCCCGGUGUAGCGGUGAAAUGCGUAGAUAUCGGGAAGAACACCAGUGGCGAAGGCGCUCUGCUGGGCCAUAACUGACGCUCAUGGACGAAAGCCAGGGGAGCGAAAGGGAUUAGAUACCCCGGUAGG